UACGAAGGGGGCUAGCGUUGCUCGGAAUCACUGGGCGUAAAGGGCGCGUAGGCGGCCAUUCAAGUCAGGGGUGAAAGCCUGUGGCUCAACCACAGAAUUGCCUUUGAUACUGUUUGGCUAGAGACCGGAAGAGGUAAGUGGAACUGCGAGUGUAGAGGUGAAAUUCGUAGAUAUUCGCAAGAACACCAGUGGCGAAGGCGGCUCACUGGUCCGGUACUGACGCUGAGGUGCGAAAGCGUGGGGAGCAAACAGG
RNAcentral lists this ribosomal RNA (253 nucleotides) under uncultured bacterium. Its description in RNAcentral is "partial 16S ribosomal RNA". It matches the Rfam family "Bacterial small subunit ribosomal RNA", at positions 524 to 776 of the family's 1533-position model. The record is from RNAcentral.